This 253-nucleotide ribosomal RNA is filed under the name uncultured bacterium. RNAcentral describes it as "partial 16S ribosomal RNA". It matches the Rfam family "Bacterial small subunit ribosomal RNA", at positions 524 to 776 of the family's 1533-position model. The record is from RNAcentral.
GACAGAGGUGCCGAGCGUUAGGCGGAAUCACUGGGCUUAAAGCGUGUGUAGGCGGACUUCUAAGUACCUUGUGAAAUCCCACGGCUCAACCGUGGAACUGCUUGGUAUACUGGUUGUCUUGAGCCACUUAGGGGCAGUCGGAACAGACGGUGGAGCGGUGAAAUGCGUAGAUAUCGUCUGGAACGCCAAAGGUGAAAACAGACUGCUGGGACGGUACUGACGCUGAGACGCGAAAGCGUGGGGAGCAAACAGG